This 422-nucleotide ribosomal RNA is filed under the name uncultured Actinomycetospora sp. RNAcentral describes it as "bacterial SSU rRNA". It matches the Rfam family "Bacterial small subunit ribosomal RNA", at positions 355 to 774 of the family's 1533-position model. The record is from RNAcentral. Lineage: Bacteria; Bacillati; Actinomycetota; Actinomycetes; Pseudonocardiales; Pseudonocardiaceae.
UGGGGAAUCUUGCGCAAUGGGCGGAAGCCUGACGCAGCAACGCCGCGUGAGGGAUGACGGCCUUCGGGUUGUAAACCUCUUUCGCGAUCGACGAAGGCUCGUCUUGUUGGCGGGUUGACGGUAGGUCGAGAAGAAGCACCGGCCAACUACGUGCCAGCAGCCGCGGUAAUACGUAGGGUGCGAGCGUUGUCCGGAAUUAUUGGGCGUAAAGAGCUCGUAGGCGGUGUGUCACGUCGGCCGUGAAAACCUGGGGCUUAACUCUGGGCGUGCGGUCGAUACGGGCAUCACUAGAGUUCGGCAGGGGAGAACUGGAAUUCCUGGUGUAGCGGUGAAAUGCGCAGAUAUCAGGAGGAACACCGGUGGCGAAGGCGGGUCUCUGGGCCGAUACUGACGCUGAGGAGCGAAAGCAUGGGUAGCGAACA